GUGUCCCGUUGGUCUAGUGGUUAGGACUCAGGAUUUUCAUUCCUGCAACAGGAGUUCGAUUCUCCUAUCGGCUACG
This 76-nucleotide transfer RNA is filed under the name Candidatus Cloacimonadota bacterium. Its description in RNAcentral is "tRNA-Glu". It matches the Rfam family "tRNA". From Rfam's summary of the family: Transfer RNA (tRNA) molecules are approximately 80 nucleotides in length. Their secondary structure includes four short double-helical elements and three loops (D, anti-codon, and T loops). The record is from RNAcentral. Lineage: Bacteria; Pseudomonadati; Candidatus Cloacimonadota.